RNAcentral lists this ribosomal RNA (188 nucleotides) under Gilliamella apicola. RNAcentral describes it as "partial 16S ribosomal RNA". It matches the Rfam family "Bacterial small subunit ribosomal RNA", at positions 1 to 184 of the family's 1533-position model. The record is from RNAcentral. Lineage: Bacteria; Pseudomonadati; Pseudomonadota; Gammaproteobacteria; Orbales; Orbaceae.
UUAAAUUGAAGAGUUUGAUCAUGGCUCAGAUUGAACGCUGGCGGCAGGCUUAACACAUGCAAGUCGAACGGUAACAUGAGUGCUUGCACUUGAUGACGAGUGGCGGACGGGUGAGUAAUGUAUGGGGAUCUGCCGAAUGGAGGGGGACAACAGUUGGAAACGACUGCUAAUACCGCAUAAUGUUGAGA